GAUGAACGCUGGCGGCGUGCUUAACACAUGCAAGUCGAACGAACCUUCGGGUUAGUGGCGGACGGGUGAGUAACGCGUGAGAAUCUGCCCUCAGGAGGGGGAUACGGUUGGGAAACGGCCGCUAAUACCCCAUAUGCCGCGAGGUGAAAUGAAUUUCGCCUGAGGAUGAGCUCGCGUCUGAUUAGCUAGUUGGUGUAGGUAAUGGCUCACCAAGGCAUCGAUCAGUAGCUGGUCUGAGAGGAUGAUCAGCCACACUGGGACUGAGACACACGGCCCAACUCCUACGGGAGGAAGGAGCAGUGAGGAAAUUUCCGCAAUGGGCGAAAGCCUGACGGAGCAAUACCGCGUGAAGGAUUAAGGCCUAUGGGUUGUAAACUUCUUUUCUCAGAGAAGAAUUUUGACGGUAUCUGAGGAAUAAGCAUCGGCUAACUCUGUG
RNAcentral lists this ribosomal RNA (436 nucleotides) under uncultured bacterium. Its description in RNAcentral is "bacterial SSU rRNA". It matches the Rfam family "Bacterial small subunit ribosomal RNA", at positions 28 to 507 of the family's 1533-position model. The record is from RNAcentral.